GGAAUAUUGGACAAUGGGCGCAAGCCUGAUCCAGCCAUGCCGCGUGCAGGAUGACGGUCCUAUGGAUUGUAAACUGCUUUUGCACAGGAAGAAACAACAUUACGUGUAAUGUCUUGACGGUACUGUGAGAAUAAGGAUCGGCUAACUCCGUGCCAGCAGCCGCGGUAAUACGGAGGAUCCAAGCGUUAUCCGGAAUCAUUGGGUUUAAAGGGUCCGUAGGCGGUCUUAUAAGUCAGUGGUGAAAUCUCCCCGCUCAACGGGGAAACGGCCAUUGAUACUGUAGGACUUGAAUUAUUAGGAAGUAACUAGAAUAUGUAGUGUAGCGGUGAAAUGCUUAGAGAUUACAUGGAAUACCAAUUGCGAAGGCAGGUUACUACUAAUACAUUGACGCUGAUGGACGAAAGCGUGGGUAGCGAACAGGAUUAGAUACCCUAG
This 435-nucleotide ribosomal RNA is filed under the name uncultured Flavobacterium sp. RNAcentral describes it as "bacterial SSU rRNA". It matches the Rfam family "Bacterial small subunit ribosomal RNA", at positions 358 to 790 of the family's 1533-position model. Lineage: Bacteria; Pseudomonadati; Bacteroidota; Flavobacteriia; Flavobacteriales; Flavobacteriaceae. The record is from RNAcentral.